RNAcentral lists this ribosomal RNA (98 nucleotides) under Candidatus Zixiibacteriota bacterium. Its description in RNAcentral is "partial 23S ribosomal RNA". It matches the Rfam family "Bacterial large subunit ribosomal RNA", at positions 2836 to 2925 of the family's 2925-position model. The record is from RNAcentral. Lineage: Bacteria; Pseudomonadati; Candidatus Zixiibacteriota.
CCUGGUAGACUACCAGGUUGAUAGGUCGCAGGUCGAAGGCCCGUAAAGGCUGUAGCCGAGCGAUACUAAUAAGCCGUGAGGCUUGACCUUAAAAUUCU